CCUACGGGGGGCAGCAGUGGGGAAUAUUGGACAAUGGGGGGAACCCUGAUCCAGCCAUGCCGCGUGUGUGAAGAAGGCCUUUUGGUUGUAAAGCACUUUAAGCGAGGAGGAGGCUACCGAGAUUAAUACUCUUGGAUAGUGGACGUUACUCGCAGAAUAAGCACCGGCUAACUCUGUGCCAGCAGCCGCGGUAAUACAGAGGGUGCAAGCGUUAAUCGGAUUUACUGGGCGUAAAGCGCGCGUAGGUGGUUAAUUAAGUCAAAUGUGAAAUCCCCGAGCUUAACUUGGGAAUUGCAUUCGAUACUGGUUAGCUAGAGUAUGGGAGAGGAUGGUAGAAUUCCAGGUGUAGCGGUGAAAUGCGUAGAGAUCUGGAGGAAUACCGAUGGCGAAGGCAGCCAUCUGGCCUAAUACUGACACUGAGGUGCGAAAGCAUGGGGAGCAAACAGGAUUAGAUACCCUGGUAGUCACC
Molecule: ribosomal RNA, 469 nt
Filed under: uncultured Acinetobacter sp.
Lineage: Bacteria; Pseudomonadati; Pseudomonadota; Gammaproteobacteria; Moraxellales; Moraxellaceae
Description: bacterial SSU rRNA
Rfam family: Bacterial small subunit ribosomal RNA
Source: RNAcentral